UACACAUAAGACACAGACAUUUCACAUAUCCCCAGAUAGCUGGGAUCUGAGCGCACAAAACUACCAAAUAGCGCUCAGAUCCUAUUCACACAGUUCAAUUGCCAUGGAGCCGAAGUCUUUAACUACACGAAUGGGCUCCAUGGCAUAGCUAUCUGGGUUAACCCAUUCACAUAAAGUCUGGUCCAUAGUACAAAGGCAAGAGGCGGGCAAGCAGCCCCCUCCAAGGACACGUGGCGAGGCC
This is a non-coding RNA of Pelobates cultripes (western spadefoot toad), 241 nucleotides long. The record is from the annotation of a GenBank genome assembly. NCBI's taxonomy places the organism in Eukaryota, Metazoa, Chordata, Amphibia, Anura, Pelobatidae.